AUGAAAUUUUUGAAAGCUAGCAACCUGAAUUAUGAAUGUCAGUUUUUAACUUUUUACAUUUUACCCAUGUGGUUUGAUUUUAGCUCUUUGAAUCUCCUCACAAAAACAAUAUGUAAGCUUAUUUUUCAAUUUAGUGGGAAACUUUUUAUGGUAUUUCAAAUCUCUCCAAUUCUACCACCUCUUCCCCAACAACAACAAGAGCAACAAAAACUGUGUAAGGGCAUAACAUCCACUGAUUGCUUGAAAUUAUCUGGCCAUGAACAUUAUACAUCUAUACCUCCUUUUCAGAUUAAAAUCUUAUAUGCCUGAUCUAUAUCUUUCCAAAAAAAAAAGAAUGUCUUCUAUGCCUUCCACACUUGCAUGAAAUUUUAUUUAAACAUUAAGUCUUAUGGUUAAGAGUAAAACAGAGGGAAGGAUUUUUUUUAAAUUGUGUGACCUUUUGAAGGAUGAAUUGGUUGACAGUAGGAAUUUCCACCAAUCUUCGCUUGUUUCUUAAUCAGAGAGGGGUCUUAAGACUGCCAAAUUUUGAACGAUGGUUUUUGGCAGGGUUUGACAGAUGCAAGUUGGGUGGGCAACCUAUUUGGACAUAUGACCUAAAAGAAGUAAAAAACGAUUACAAAGGGAAUCUGAUGGAGAUUACAUGACAGAGAGGCUCACAUGAAGUGUCCAUUAAGGAGAGAGGUGUGAAGUAACAACUGGGGCAAGUGUGUGGAAAGUCCUGAAAGCAUGGAAACCACUGAAGAGCCCCAGGGUUUGCAGAGCACAACGACUCAAGUAGGAACAGGUUUUGUGGCUUAGGUUCCUACUUGGGAUAUGAUUGCUUUUCCCCAUAUAAUUAGAUGCCUAAUUGUGCUCCUACACUUAGUGGAUACAUUUACAGCACCAUGUAAUUUUGAUUUAUUUCAAAGUUCUUCAUAAUGUGAAUCUACCACUGCUUACAUAUCAAUGUGCCACAUGUAACUGCUGAAACUAUUUGUGAUGAUUUUUUACUUUCUCCUUCUAGAUUCUGAGUAAUUUAGAAAGCAAUUUAACAAAGCUCACUCCAAUGAGUAUUUAAAUAUUAACAUUUUUAGUAUACCUAAAAUUUAGCUACAAAAGUAAUUGAAAAAUCAGUUUUAUAGGCUACUGAAGUAAAAAUUGAGGGCAUUGAUCAGAAGCUGUAAUAAUUUUGGUAAUAGAGCUAUCAGGGAAAAAACAAAGCAUUCUUGCCCAUUGGAAUCAAUAACAUCAUUUCUAGGAAUUCAUCUUCAAGAAAUUUUAAAAAAAUAAAUGCAAGGAUUUUGAUGCA
This 1288-nucleotide long non-coding RNA is filed under the name Oryctolagus cuniculus (rabbit). RNAcentral describes it as "lncRNA (ENSOCUG00000035731.1)". Lineage: Eukaryota; Metazoa; Chordata; Mammalia; Lagomorpha; Leporidae. The record is from RNAcentral.